UCGAUGAAACGAAUGAUGCUUUGUGUAAACCAGGUUGUGGAUAAGUUAUGGUUAUAGAUGGGAGAUGGAACACUGACGUAGUCCCUUAACGGGCUAGCUGAAAGGAGAUAGAGAAAGUUUGCAGAUGGAUGAUGAUGGGUUCCAAUAGAUCUAAUUGCAUGAUUAAUUUUUGGAGAAAUCUUAUAAUUCAAAUUACUUUUUUUGUGUGCUUUCUUAGUAUUAAAUUAUUAUUAUUUUAAUUUUUAUACUCUUAAAUUUUUAUUGUACACAGG
This 272-nucleotide long non-coding RNA is filed under the name Manihot esculenta (cassava). RNAcentral's name for it is "long non-coding RNA (MESC_LNC011810)". Lineage: Eukaryota; Viridiplantae; Streptophyta; Magnoliopsida; Malpighiales; Euphorbiaceae. The record is from RNAcentral.